This is a long non-coding RNA of Mustela erminea (ermine), 659 nucleotides long. RefSeq lists it as uncharacterized. NCBI's taxonomy places the organism in Eukaryota, Metazoa, Chordata, Mammalia, Carnivora, Mustelidae. The transcript has 5 exons. The record is from RefSeq and is a predicted model, not a curated record.
GGAUCCUUCUGCUUCUAGUCUCCAGUUGACCAUUGGGUCUCGGAAUCAGAAAAAUAAGAAAUGGCAGACAAUGGGGGGGACUACUGCAUACCUAACACAGGCCUCUAAGAACAAAUGCCAGCAACUAAACUCUUCCUUGAAUUGAACAGACCAGAAGCUCCAAAGAGUAACAUCCCUGGGAGUAGUUCUCAUCAGUGCUUUCCAAGCAUUAGGACAGUAAUGCAGUAUAAUAUACAUAUGACAUUCACGGAAGUGUCCAGAUUGAUAAAUAUUCAGAAAUUGAUGAUUCUCGUGUAAAAAGUCACUGAGACCAAGCGAUAGAUAUUACCAUCACCCACAGAGGUUCCCGGGUGUCCUUCCAGACCCUAUUCACCAAGAGGAUGUGCCAAAUCAAUAAUGAUUCGGGAUGAAGAUUUGCUAGAACACAAGCAGCUUUAACAGCCAGUCCGGUGCACCUCCCAACAGUCCCCAGAUAACUCAAUUUGAACAUUUAUCCAAGCCUGACUUCUAGAUCCCAUCCUAACAUAUAAUCUAAGAAACUUGGAAGCAAGAAGACAAUAAAACAAUGCCUUUAAGAUGCUACAGGAAGGUGUACCUGGGUGGCUCAGUCAUUACGUGUCUGCCUUUGACUCAGGUCAUGAUCCCAAGAUCCUGGGAUU